CCAGUGGUUUUCAGGAAAAAAAAAAUGGCAAGAAGGCUCUGGGUGGGGAGGAGCACCAUGUGGUCGAAAUAUUAGAGCCAUGCUUCUAUUUUGCCACUAUACCCUUUUACUUCUUCUGAAUUUUCUGUGGAUCUGAAAAAGGAGUUAAUGACUCUGGCUUAAUGUCAACAAAACUGGAAGAAAACUGUUUUCAUUUGAGCCUAGAUUAAAACAUGCCACUGUAUUUAAAAAGCAAUCAGUUUUAUAAGCUAAACACAAAAAUGUUAACUCUUGGAAAUUUUCCUUUCAGUCAAAAGAAUUGAGAAUAAGCUAAAAAGUCACUAAGAAUUAGAGUCACCAUUGUUGAAAUAAGAAAGGUCACACUUCAAAAUCUAACAAAGGAGUGGCUCCUGUCUAAUGAAGAUCAUUCCCACAUAAAACUCAGAGUGCUUACUUUGUCAUACAUAGAUAUUUAAUUUUAGUAAUA
Molecule: long non-coding RNA, 466 nt
Filed under: Marmota monax (woodchuck)
Lineage: Eukaryota; Metazoa; Chordata; Mammalia; Rodentia; Sciuridae
Source: RNAcentral